UAGGAAGCAGUGUAAGGGAAGCACGUAGGGCUUUGAACCCUCCAGUAAGGGUUCGAUUCCCUUUUUUCUAA
This 71-nucleotide transfer RNA is filed under the name Pseudotolithus senegallus (law croaker). RNAcentral's name for it is "tRNA-Gln". It matches the Rfam family "tRNA". From Rfam's summary of the family: Transfer RNA (tRNA) molecules are approximately 80 nucleotides in length. Their secondary structure includes four short double-helical elements and three loops (D, anti-codon, and T loops). Further hydrogen bonds mediate the characteristic L-shaped molecular structure. tRNAs have two regions of fundamental functional importance: the anti-codon, which is responsible for specific mRNA codon recognition, and the 3' end, to which the tRNAs corresponding amino acid is attached (by aminoacyl-tRNA synthetases). tRNAs cope with the degeneracy of the genetic code in two manners: having more than one tRNA (with a specific anti-codon) for a particular amino acid; and 'wobble' base-pairing, i.e. permitting non-standard base-pairing at the 3rd anti-codon position. Lineage: Eukaryota; Metazoa; Chordata; Actinopteri; Sciaenidae. RNAcentral also lists the same sequence under 1 other name. The record is from RNAcentral.